Molecule: ribosomal RNA, 497 nt
Filed under: uncultured bacterium
Lineage: Bacteria
Description: partial 16S ribosomal RNA
Rfam family: Bacterial small subunit ribosomal RNA
Source: RNAcentral
GAUGAACGCUGGCGGCGUGCCUAAUACAUGCGAGUCGAGCGAACGGACGAGAAGCUUGCUUCUCUGAUGUUAGCGGCGGACGGGUGAGUAACACGUGGAUAACCUACCUAUAAGACUGGGAUAACUUCGGGAAACCGGAGCUAAUACCGGAUAAUAUUUUGAACCGCAUGGUUCAAAAGUGAAAGACGGUCUUGCUGUCACUUAUAGAUGGAUCCGCGCUGCAUUAGCUAGUUGGUAAGGUAACGGCUUACCAAGGCAACGAUGCAUAGCCGACCUGAGAGGGUGAUCGGCCACACUGGAACUGAGACACGGUCCAGACUCCUACGGGAGGCAGCAGUAGGGAAUCUUCCGCAAUAGGCGAAAGCCUGACGGAGCAACGCCGCGUGAGUGAUGAAGGUCUUCGGAUCGUAAAACUCUGUUAUUAGGGAAGAACAUAUGUGUAAGUAACUGUGCACAUCUUGACGGUACCUAAUCAGAAAGCCACGGCUAACUACGUG